Molecule: ribosomal RNA, 248 nt
Filed under: uncultured Gardnerella sp.
Lineage: Bacteria; Bacillati; Actinomycetota; Actinomycetes; Bifidobacteriales; Bifidobacteriaceae
Description: partial 16S ribosomal RNA
Rfam family: Bacterial small subunit ribosomal RNA
Source: RNAcentral
AGUAAUGCGUGACCAACCUCGCCCCAUGCUCCAGAAUAGCUCUUGGAAACGGGUGGUAAUGCUGGAUGCUCCAACUUGACGCAUGUCUUGUUGGGAAAGUGUUUAGUGGCAUGGGAUGGGGUCGCGUCCUAUCAGCUUGUAGGCGGGGUAAUGGCCCACCUAGGCUUCGACGGGUAGCCGGCCUGAGAGGGCGGACGGCCACAUUGGGACUGAGAUACGGCCCAGACUCCUACGGGAGGCAGCAGAAA